RNAcentral lists this unclassified non-coding RNA (225 nucleotides) under fungal sp. RNAcentral's name for it is "partial internal transcribed spacer region". The stretch from base 1 to 46 matches the Rfam family "Eukaryotic small subunit ribosomal RNA", at positions 1786 to 1831 of the family's 1831-position model. The record is from RNAcentral. Lineage: Eukaryota; Fungi.
AAGUCGUAACAAGGUCUCCGUUGGUGAACCAGCGGAGGGAUCAUUACAGAGUUCUCUCGCGAGGCUCCCAAACCAUUGUGAACAUACCCGUAUCGUUGCCUCGGCGGUUCGUCCCCCUCGGGGUGUCCCGCCGGUGGCCCACCAAACUCUUUUUCUGUUUAGGGGACUCUCUGAGAAAAACAAGCAAAUAAGUUAAAACUUUCAACAACGGAUCUCUUGGCUCUG